Molecule: long non-coding RNA, 213 nt
Filed under: Elaeis guineensis (African oil palm)
Lineage: Eukaryota; Viridiplantae; Streptophyta; Magnoliopsida; Arecales; Arecaceae
Description: long non-coding RNA (EGUI_LNC074482)
Source: RNAcentral
AUGACAAUUCAAUAAAGUUUUUUAAGUACUAAUCUGAAAAGAAUUUGAGAAAAGAAAAAAAUUGAAAAAACAAAAAAAUUAAAAACGUGUAUCAAUCAGCUGACCAGUACAUCAGGGUGUAUUAAGUGCCGGGAUGGUACCAAACUGGUACCACACCGUAUUGGUGGCCUACAUGUAUGGGUCUCGGUACUGUUUCAACGGAACUUGGGUGGG